This 133-nucleotide non-coding RNA is filed under the name Gloeochaete wittrockiana. The record is from RNAcentral. Lineage: Eukaryota; Glaucocystophyceae; Gloeochaetales; Gloeochaetaceae.
UCUGAUGGAACGUCAGAACGCCACCCGCGCCAAGGUGUUGAGCAACAUGAUUAAGCAAAAGAGAAAGGAAAAGGCCGGAAAGUGGAACGUUCCGCUCCCGCGUGUGCGCCCGAUCAGUCAGGACGAGCUCUUC